AGCCGGCCCUGGUUAAAAACCUUCACCUAAUUUCAAGCCUAAAAUUGUUAAUGGCCAGUUUAUAUCCAUGUAUUAUUGUGUCAACACUGGCACUUAACUUACAUUAUACCUCCCCCUUUCUGGUAUUUAUCCCUCCAAUGUAUUUAUAGAGAGCAAUUAUAUCUCUCCUCAGCCUUCUUUUGGUUACGCUAAACAAACCAAGUGCUUUGAGUCUCCUCUCAUAUGGUAGGUUUUGCAUUCCUC
Long non-coding RNA from Gopherus evgoodei (Goodes thornscrub tortoise), 243 nucleotides. RefSeq lists it as uncharacterized. The transcript is spliced from 3 exons. NCBI's taxonomy places the organism in Eukaryota, Metazoa, Chordata, Testudines, Testudinidae. The record is from RefSeq and is a predicted model, not a curated record.